GGUGGCUCAGCUGUAGAGCACUUGCCUUGCAUGCAUGAGACCCUGGGUUCAAUUCCUCAGCACCA
RNAcentral lists this transfer RNA (65 nucleotides) under Dipodomys ordii (Ord's kangaroo rat). It matches the Rfam family "tRNA". Rfam says of the family: Transfer RNA (tRNA) molecules are approximately 80 nucleotides in length. Lineage: Eukaryota; Metazoa; Chordata; Mammalia; Rodentia; Heteromyidae. The record is from Rfam by way of RNAcentral.